This 274-nucleotide ribosomal RNA is filed under the name uncultured bacterium. Its description in RNAcentral is "partial 16S ribosomal RNA". It matches the Rfam family "Bacterial small subunit ribosomal RNA", at positions 523 to 796 of the family's 1533-position model. The record is from RNAcentral.
AUACGGAGGGUGCGAGCGUUAAUCGGAAUUACUGGGCGUAAAGGGUGCGUAGGCGGCUUGAUAAGUCGGAUGUGAAAGCCCCGGGCUUAACCUGGGAAUUGCAUUCGAUACUGUCAGGCUAGAGUAUGUCAGAGGUUGGCGGAAUUCCUGGUGUAGCGGUGAAAUGCGUAGAUAUCAGGAGGAACACCAGUGGCGAAGGCGGCUAACUGGGGCAAUACUGACGCUGAGGCACGAAAGCGUGGGGAGCAAACAGGAUUAGAUACCCUAGUAGUCC